Canis lupus familiaris (dog) is the source of this 499-nucleotide long non-coding RNA. RefSeq lists it as uncharacterized. The transcript is spliced from 2 exons. Lineage: Eukaryota; Metazoa; Chordata; Mammalia; Carnivora; Canidae. The record is from RefSeq and is a predicted model, not a curated record.
GCCCGCCAUCUUCCCGCAUGCGCAGUGCGCCGCCCCCACUGCGCACGCCCGCCGCGGCCGCCGCGCUCCCACGCACUAACCCCCUCGCGGCGCCCGGAGCCCGGGAAAGCCCGGACGCGAAGUCCACGGAGAGGAUGGCGGAGGAGAGGAAGAGGUGGAGCCGGACCCCCAAAGAAGGGAACGGAGCCAGAGAAAAGAGGCGGCGGGGCGAAGGAACGCAGGCGCCGACACUCAACACCGCUGAGCGCGCGGCUGUGGAUUUAAUCUUGAGCUCCCUCCGGCCGCCCAGGGCUGAUGCUUAGUGAAUGCCGGUGUCGUGGUGGGCACAGGACAUAAUCACCGGAAUCUGCCACAGACUCAACCUCAAAGUCCAACAGAGGAAACAGAUGAAUAAACAGGACAUUUAAAGCUGGAGCUGGAAAGUGUGUUUUCAGAUCCCCGCCUCUCUCCUUAUUAAGAGGACAAGGCUUUAAGCAAGUUACUUAAAAAAAAAAAAAAA